UACAGAGGGGGCAAGCGUUAUUCGGAAUUAUUGGGCGUAAAGGGCGCGUAGGCGGCUUUGCAAGUGACGGGUGAAAUCCCUCGGCUUAACCGAGGAACUGCCUGUCAGACUGCAUGGCUUGGGACCAGGAGAGGUGAGUGGAAUUCCCAGUGUAGCGGUGAAAUGCGUAGAUAUUGGGAGGAACACCAGUGGCGAAGGCGGCUCACUGGACUGGUACUGACGCUGAGGCGCGAAAGCGUGGGGAGCAAACAGG
RNAcentral lists this ribosomal RNA (253 nucleotides) under uncultured bacterium. RNAcentral's name for it is "partial 16S ribosomal RNA". It matches the Rfam family "Bacterial small subunit ribosomal RNA", at positions 524 to 776 of the family's 1533-position model. The record is from RNAcentral.